Molecule: ribosomal RNA, 590 nt
Filed under: Shewanella sp.
Lineage: Bacteria; Pseudomonadati; Pseudomonadota; Gammaproteobacteria; Alteromonadales; Shewanellaceae
Description: bacterial SSU rRNA
Rfam family: Bacterial small subunit ribosomal RNA
Source: RNAcentral
GCAGCAGUGGGGAUAUUGCACAAUGGGGGAAACCCUGAUGCAGCCAUGCCGCGUGUGUGAAGAAGGCCUUCGGGUUGUAAAGCACUUUCAGUAGGGAGGAAAGGGUGUAGUUUAAUACGCUAUAUCUGUGACGUUACCUACAGAAGAAGGACCGGCUAACUCCGUGCCAGCAGCCGCGGUAAUACGGAGGGUCCGAGCGUUAAUCGGAAUUACUGGGCGUAAAGCGUGCGCAGGCGGUUUGUUAAGCGAGAUGUGAAAGCCCUGGGCUCAACCUAGGAAUAGCAUUUCGAACUGGCGAACUAGAGUCUUGUAGAGGGGGGUAGAAUUCCAGGUGUAGCGGUGAAAUGCGUAGAGAUCUGGAGGAAUACCGGUGGCGAAGGCGGCCCCCUGGACAAAGACUGACGCUCAUGCACGAAAGCGUGGGGAGCAAACAGGAUUAGAUACCCUGGUAGUCCACGCCGUAAACGAUGUCUACUCGGAGUUUGGUGUCUUGAACACUGGGCUCUCAAGCUAACGCAUUAAGUAGACCGCCUGGGGAGUACGGCCGCAAGGUUAAAACUCAAAUGAAUUGACGGGGGCCCCGCACAAGA